UACAGAGGUGGCAAGCGUUGUUCGGAUUUAUUGGGCGUAAAGGGUUCGUAGGCGGUCUGAAAGUCAGGUGUGAAAUCUCACAGCUUAACUGUGGAACUGCAUUUGAUACUGUCAGACUAGAGUGUGGAAGGGUGAGGAAUCUGGUGUAAGGUGAAUCUGCAGAGAUCAGGAAGAACACCUGUCGCGAAGGCGCUUCACUGGCCCACUACUGACGCUGAGGGACGAAAGCUAGGGGAGCAAACGGGAUUAGAACCGUACC
This 259-nucleotide ribosomal RNA is filed under the name uncultured archaeon. RNAcentral's name for it is "partial 16S ribosomal RNA". It matches the Rfam family "Bacterial small subunit ribosomal RNA", at positions 524 to 786 of the family's 1533-position model. The record is from RNAcentral.